Long non-coding RNA from Megalobrama amblycephala (Wuchang bream), 900 nucleotides. RefSeq lists it as uncharacterized. The transcript is spliced from 6 exons. Lineage: Eukaryota; Metazoa; Chordata; Actinopteri; Cypriniformes; Xenocyprididae. The record is from RefSeq and is a predicted model, not a curated record.
GAGCAGAAUUUACUUUUACAGAUGCUUAUGACUGCUAAAACAUGGACAACGCAACACACAAUCACAGCUUUUGUUGCUACUAGCUGCUUCUUCACUCAGCAUGUUAAGACGCACAGGAAUUUAAUCAAGAGAAGUAUUAUCAUCGCUGAAGAAAUGGCAGAUUUUAAUCCUCAGACACCGAACAGGUCAAGCCCUGAAGAAAUAACACCAUGGACAUCAUCUUCUGACUGAACUAGCAAGGAGCUGUUGGAGCAAAUGAGAAAGCUGUUGGAAUGUAAACCUACCUGAGUAAACGCCACUACUUUAAUGAUAAUUUCUAAGUUUACUGAGCGACGUAAACUGCUGUCAUCCACGUCACAUCAUUGCUCUAACUGACGUUACCUGAAGAAUCCUUUCAGCGUAGCAGAUAUUCGCAAGCGUCUGGAGCCAACAUAAAAUGCUGAACUGGAUGCUUACUGAAGAGUGAGCUUCAACACUUAAGGUUUGUACAAAGUUACACCAUGUCACUGAAAAUGGCACGCAUCAACAAGAUUUCAGAGACAUUUUAAAUGUUGAUGAUCUUCAGGUGAGUUGAAAUUUGUCAACACUACCUCCAUCACUGUCAUCACUGUAAAUAAAAUAAAGUUGGCUUGCUUGUUUAACAUGUUAAUUUUUGCUUGACUCUGAAGGGUGUGAAUGAUGUCAACAUGAAACGCACCAUAGCCCUCUGUGCUCCUCGGUGUACCUGUGAGGAGGAGCCACAACUCUUCAAGACUUGAAAUGAGGCGUUGGGAGAGCCAGACAUCACUGGUUCUGUCAUUGUGGUCAAUGAAACGAAAGCACAAGUCCUUCAAGCACUGCAGUUGUGAUAGAAGAUGAUCUUCAGUUUUAUAAUAAAAGACUAAUCUUCAAAAAAAAAAA